GGGAGGCUCCGCUGGGCAAGUUGCGGUGGACGCUGCCUGGCUGGGCGCACGGGCAGGCCCUCUAGCUCUGCUCGCCCCCUGCCGGCUGCUCGCCUCCUCGCGAGGUGGAGGGACCGCGGCCAUGACUCCCUGGCCCCCUACGCCCCUGCUGUGGCGCCUUCAUGCCGGUCGACUACCGAGAAAAGGGGCUUCAGUUGUAGGAACGCACCUGCUGCCACCCUGGGGCCUAUAGGGGACUGUAGAGAAAAACCUGCCAUCCCAACCCUUUCAUGACCCCUCUUCCACGCCUUCGGGGCGGGAGGUGGGGCCAGGGGCGAUGGUGAAGUUCAGGGUCAGCCGAUGCGGCUGGUGGAGUCCCCAGGCUCGCGCGCUGGUGGUAGUUGAGCAAUCUGCGCAGCGCCUGCCAAACCCUGUCUUGGCUCCCAGCCUCGCGCGGCCCUGCAAAUACCUGCUCCCGCGGCGCCGGGAGUCUGUAACCCUCGGCCCUUUUCUGACCGCCCCCAGCUUCAGCUGAACGCACUCUUGUUUUCCAACGCUCGGCUGCGCAGUGGCAUCACCCGGAAGCUGUUAAAAAAUAACUACUGCUGAUCGUGGGUUUUAUUUUGCUAUGCAGGAUGUUAUUGGGACAAGUGACGAAAUCUCAAUAAGGUGAUUCCAGUGUGCAGCCAAAAUAGAGGAACACUGCGCCAAAUCUGCCAGUGGAAGGAGCCUGUGAGGGAGUAGGGAGCAGACAAGAGGGAGGCCCCGAGAGACAGCGCACUAGAAACGUGUGGUUUUAUCUCAUGCACGACUUCCAUGGCCAACAUUUACUCCACUGAGAGCUUCUAACUCCACUCCGCCCUCGUGGGUGGAGCAGCGUUGCACCCAGGCUGGCUCACCUUAUGGUCCCAGCAUGGCCACAGAAGCUCUAGGACUCAAACCCGACUCAGCAAGGUGAAGAGGAAGAGGGAAUGUCUCUUCACUGCUUACUUAGGAGCAGUAAACAGUUCUCAAAAUCCACCCUGCAGGGUGACCCUCACAUCACAGUGGCUCCAGCUGUGUCACAUUUCCCAUUUCUAAUCCAAACACUGGCGAAGGGGUUACCCUGUUUGGUGUUGGUUACUCAGGAUCCUCCUCUUGGAGCUGGAAAUAAGGCAUUUGUCAAGAUCCUGGGGACGUGUCACAGUGCUAAGAUGCUGGGAGAGAGACCCACCUGGUCUUCAGUCGUCCAUCCACACUUGUGGCUGCUGACAAACUGCCGUUUCUAUUUGUGUUUCCCCUUCAGCCGCAUGGAUUCCUCUCUCGCCUUAGAGCACAGAAUCUGGAAGAAUCUAUACAGAUAGCUACUCUUCUACUUCCAGAGGCAGCUACAUAAUUUGCAGGAAAAAAAUGUCCAUUAAAGGUCCUAAAUAUAAAGCUUUUUCCUUUUUUUCUGCUCUCUCAACUUGCCAUAGUGUAUUUUAUUUGCCACUUAAUACUAAUCUAAAUAAAGAAAAAUUAAAAUAUUAAAUAAUUA
This 1495-nucleotide long non-coding RNA is filed under the name Equus caballus (horse). RNAcentral describes it as "lncRNA (ENSECAG00000050476.1)". Lineage: Eukaryota; Metazoa; Chordata; Mammalia; Perissodactyla; Equidae. The record is from RNAcentral.